AUUGAACGCUGGCGGCAGGCCUAACACAUGCAAGUCGAACGGUAGCACAGAGAGCUUGCUCUCGGGUGACGAGUGGCGGACGGGUGAGUAAUGUCUGGGAAACUGCCCGAUGGAGGGGGAUAACUACUGGAAACGGUAGCUAAUACCGCAUAACGUCGCAAGACCAAAGUGGGGGACCUUCGGGCCUCACACCAUCGGAUGUGCCCAGAUGGGAUUAGCUAGUAGGUGGGGUAAUGGCUCACCUAGGCGACGAUCCCUAGCUGGUCUGAGAGGAUGACCAGCCACACUGGAACUGAGACACGGUCCAGACUCAUACGGGAGGCAGCAGUGGGGAAUAUUGCACAAUGGGCGCAAGCCUGAUGCAGCCAUGCCGCGUGUAUGAAGAAGGCCUUCGGGUUGUAAAGUACCUUCAGCGGGGAGGAAGGCGGUGAAGUUAACAGCUUCACCGAUUGACGUUACCCGCAGAAGAAGCACCGGCUAACCCCGUGCCAGCCGCCGCCGUAA
This 504-nucleotide ribosomal RNA is filed under the name uncultured bacterium. RNAcentral describes it as "partial 16S ribosomal RNA". It matches the Rfam family "Bacterial small subunit ribosomal RNA", at positions 29 to 523 of the family's 1533-position model. The record is from RNAcentral.